Arabidopsis lyrata subsp. lyrata is the source of this 749-nucleotide long non-coding RNA. RefSeq lists it as uncharacterized. The transcript is spliced from 2 exons. NCBI's taxonomy places the organism in Eukaryota, Viridiplantae, Streptophyta, Magnoliopsida, Brassicales, Brassicaceae. The record is from RefSeq and is a predicted model, not a curated record.
UGUGGAAAAGUUGAAAUGUCAACAAAAGCAACCAAAAUCUAUUUGCUACCACCAUUGACUAUAGAAGGACAGGUCAUCAUCACUACGAUUGAAACCAAAGAAUACAAAAGAUGAGACUUUUUGAAGAUCCGUUUCAACAAAGUCAAUAACUUUGACAAAAUCCUGAUAACCAAAUAGAGUUUUUGACAAAAUCCAAGACACAAUCCCCCAAUAGAAACCAAACGACGGUUUGUUUCUUCUUCUGUGCAAUGGAAAGAGGUAACAUAAACCUAAAAGACCCAAAUGGAGAAAAUCUCUGUAUGAUUCACACCAAGAGCCAAUUGAUGAAGAAACCAAAAGGAAUAAUCAAACAAAGGUACCGUGGUGAGAAUAAGCGAAGACGGCUCGAUAAGUGUAGAUGUGAUCACCAGUGUACAAGGAGAGAUUCUUACGUCAGCGGCGGAGAUAUGAUUGGGCGAUCGAACCGGAGAGAGAGACUGUUGAACCAAUUCAUUCCGUUACGGAAUCUUUUAACGGCGUUAACUGUUGUUAGAUGACGACGAUCGCAGGGUGCUAUGGUGACUUUUAUCAAGACGACGCCGUUUAGAUGUCCCCGGAAUCUUAUUCUUCUUUUCUUUGCGUAUUGGACUCAUAUUGGGCUUAAAGAAUACGCUCUACGGCCCAAAUAUCGAAUGAAGUAGUAUUAUUUAUUUAUCAACCUGUUGUUGUUAUUUUGCUCAUUGCCAACUAAUGAAUAUGCUAAGAAUUAA